This is a long non-coding RNA of Dreissena polymorpha, 3951 nucleotides long. RefSeq lists it as uncharacterized. The record is from RefSeq and is a predicted model, not a curated record. NCBI's taxonomy places the organism in Eukaryota, Metazoa, Mollusca, Bivalvia, Myida, Dreissenidae. The transcript has 2 exons.
UUGGUUUCUUCAGUGAAAGCCCUAACCCUAUUUGUUGUCAACUCAUUAUUAAGGCCCGAUUUCUGUACAAUUUAUUUGAGAAAGCAAAUACAUAGAGUACUCUUUAUUGCCAAUCCAUUGUAACAGAAAAAUGUUUAGUACUAUUUAUUGCCAAUUCACUAUAGAUAGAAAUAAGACGAGCACUAUUUAUUGCCAAUUCAUUAUAGAUAAUAAGAAAUAGAGCAUUAUUUAUUGCCUAUUCAUUAUAAAUAGAAAUAAAUCAAGCACUAUUUAUUGCCUAUUCAUUAUAGAUAGAAAAAAAUGAGAAAUAUGUGUUGCCUAUUCUUUAUACUUAAAUAUGUACCUUGUACAUAUUUAAUUCAUGAUCAUUAUAUUUGCGUAAUGAAAAUCGUUUCCAGCUUAUUUCAAACAUUAUUUGUUAGUAGCGAUAAAUUGGUAGAUUUUAUUUAAAAUUACAAAGCCAUAAAAAGCUGGUUUCUGUCAAUUUUAACAUGAUUAAUUUAUACAGUAAGCCUGAUUACAAUUAUUGUUUAUCAGAAGACCAGCCAUCUUCAUACUGAAUUCAAUACUAAUUUAAAUAUAUAAUUUUUGGCAAAAAAACUGAUGAAGAUCAAAGAUAUUUGCAGUUAUGUCUUCCAUAAAUUAAGGUCAUGGACGCUAUACCUUGCUCAGUGCAGACGACACAGCGAACACGAAAGCAAAAUUUGUUUUUCUAUGUAAAUGAACAUAUUUUUUUUAUCCUUUUAAAAAUGUUUUGUCAAACAACAAAACACAGUCAAUGAGAAACAAACACAUUAUUCUAGCAAUUUGUAUGCAUACAUUUUUAACAAAACCUAUGCGCUGGCUAUAUCGAUCAUAUGUAACCGUAUAAUAUUGCGCUGCUUACUUCCCUUUGGUAAUAUCAGUGUUUGUUCACCUACGAAUGUUUGAAGCGUUUGCCGCCAUUGCUAUUUCGGCAUUUUCUUAAGACGUUUAUACCGGUUUAUAGCCCCGAAUGGUCAAUUUACCACAGACAUCGAGUUGAAUUUAAGAAUAAAAACUGAAUAACACCACAUACAGUAUUCUUUUUCGACACGAUCGGUUCACUAUCUGUUUCCAGAACAGAAUAGUAAAUUGACAUACACUUUGCUAGUAGCAGAUGGAGAUGACGGGUACUGGACAUUGAACUAAAUACACAUUCAAAAUGGUCACACUCAAGUCUCAUCUGUAUUUAAACCGGCUUUAGAAAGUUUAUUGUAUGUCAACACAGCGUGAACGUCUGUUAUCUGUAUAAGGAAUGGCUCUUUAUGAAGAGAGAAUUGAUGACUUUAGGAAGCGCUGUUCUGCUUCAUGGCGCACAGUGGCUGAAAGUUUGGACAAAUUAAGUAAGAAGUUUAACUUAUGAGAGUUAUGUUGGUGAAAUUAACCUGAUUGAACAGCAAUUACUAGAAACCUAUGAAAGUUACGUAAAAGUAAAAGACGCAUUUGAAGUGUACUUAAAAAAUGUGUAAAGUGAAGCAAGUCUUAAAGAAUUAUUGGCUCUCACUAUACAGACCCGUUGCUACAGGAAAAAGCAAUGUUACACGCGCUGGAAAAGAUUGACCAAAUUAAACAAUAAAUAUUUAGAAAAAAGUAAUGUUAAGCAUGAAGCCAAACUCUGUUUAUGGUGGUGUGAAUUAAGACACACAGUUCGAGAUACUAGCCGUUGGAGUGAAGUUCAGUGAACUCAUCGCAUUGAAACAAGCAGAAGCCGAAUCUGCAAAGAUAAAACAGAAAUAUACUCAACAGGAAGCAGCUCCUUUGAAACAAAAGGCAGAAUCAGAAGCGAAUUUUCAAGUUCUUUCUCAGCAAAAAGCUUUUGAAGCCGCGGCUGCAGAAAUAAAGGUACUACAAGAGCAUGAUGUCGAAGGCUCUGAUGGGUCGGAAAGUCAUGUUGCACCAGACAUUCAAUUCAAAUUGCAAACUUUGCCUGUUGUAAAACCUGAAAAUCUAGUUCAAGAUUACAUCAAGAAAUCCACACAAAAAUCCAACAGUAUAUGACACUAAUAUUGGAGAAAAUCUGUGCAAAUUCCUCCUUAAAAAAGACUUGGCUCUCUCGCGACUGUUUUUUAUUUAGUGACAAGGAGGAAAACAAAUUUCAAGAACGUGAUGUUCGAGAUCAUGGAUACAAGCGCUUUUGAGGAAAUGGAUUUGGCUGUGAAGUGGCCAAGUUCUCGCCAGCACGCAGUUCAGGGCUCGAUUUUUUUUUCUACUUGCAAAACAUUGCGAGCAGCUUUAAAACCAACUCGCAAAAUCAAAAACAUUCUAUAAUUUAACUUCGUUUUUUUUUUUUACUCAACGGUUAACUUUGCUUUAUCUUUCGCAUUGUUAUUUACGCCUGUGGGCAAAAAGGAACUAGUUAUUUUUCGCUUUGACGCCAUGUCUGUUCAAGUUCAAUGAACACGUGUGAAUUAGUAGACUGUUAAACUUUCUCUGUAUCAAUACAAUCUGCGUAUCUGUACUAUAAGUAUACCAGUCUACAUACAAGGUGUGGGCUUCCGCAUACAGGUAUAUGGACGUUCUAUGACCUACGGUUUAGCGUUCAGAACGUCGAGCACAUUAGCAAUAUUCCUUUUUUUUCACUAUUUCUUUACUCGCAAAAAAUUACUAGUGGCUUAAAACUUAACUCACAAUCCGUAUUUUUCACUCGCAUUUUGCGAGUGUGCGGGUGUUAAUUUCGAGCCCUGCAGUUAGCUUGAGAUCAUCGUACCGCAGAGAUCCAGUCUUAGCAUGCGAGAAACGUUCUCGACUGCAUGAACGUUAUGGAAAAGCGGAGAUUGUCCACCAAUCUAUCACAAGGCGUAUUGAAUCUUUCCCUCAGGUGACCUAUAAAGACUCAAAAAAUGGUAUGAGCUUAGUGACUUGCUGAAUGAAAUACGUGCCUUGAAAGAAGACAAUGAGUUCUCAACGGCUCUAUCGUUCUACGAUACUUGAUUGGCUUAGCCCCUAUACUAGCCAAGCUUCCAGCAAAUGUUCAAGAACGUUGGGCAGCCAAAGCCAACGAUUACGAGAAGAAACAUAUCGUUAGUUUCCCUCCAUUCACUGCCUUUGUGGAAUUCAUAAGAGACCAGGCUACUAUAUGUAAAUUGUAAAUAACUAAUAUUGAUAAAGGCACCUGAUAUGUACAUUUACGCAAAACAAAACUCUGCGCAAGUUUUCAUUACUUUAUAAGAAUUAUAGAGCUAAAAUUCAUAUUCUUAAGAUAAAAACAUGGUUACAUAAAUUUUACAUACAUUUUUGUGGUCACUACCAUUUUGCGUUUAUUUCGAUCCCCUAAUUUGAAGAGUAUAACUAUAACAUUUUUGAAACAUAUUUGAAAUAUAUAUUUAAUUUUAUAUACAAUUUCAUGUCAUUAAGCUUGAAUGUUGAUUUUUCUUCGAAAAAUACCCCCCAUUCUGUAUGGUCUCAGACAAUUAAAGGCUAUAUUCUUUUCCUUCAAUUACUUCCAUAUGAUUUCAUCAUCAAUACUACAUGUUGUUGUAUCUAUAGCUUACCAGAUAUCUAAUAUAUUGUAUAAUGCCCCACCAUUAACUGGCUAUAUAUUUCUUUGUAAUGUAUUAUAUGUGGAAUGAUGGGCAUAUUGCCUUUUUUCCUGAAUAUAUAUGGCCUCAAAAUAUGUGUUCAUGAACUUUUAUUAGCAUAAACGACGCUUUCUUAUUAUACAGCCCAUGCAUAAAAAAUCUCUGUAACAAACCAAUACAUUUAAAAAGAAAAAUACAGGAACAAAUUAAUACUUUGUUACUUUUAAAUUUCCAUCAGAUUUUUUUUUAGUUUUCAGAAUUUAUCAACACUAUUUAUUGCAUACUUGUUAACCUGAUUUAUUGUCAAUUUAUUGUGUAUAGGCUUUGUACUUAAGUCCAAUUUAUUGUCAGUUUAUUGAACGUAUUUAUUGACAAUUCAUUUAUCAUGUAUGAAUAAAUUAUUUACAAUUUA